UGACGCCUGUUCCUCUCGCUGCUCUGAGCUGUGGCAGCUGGGAUUUUAGGUCGUCGCAGGGUCUAUUUCACUCUGUGUUCAUGAGGUAGCAGGGCUGCCGUUGUCUACACUGGAUUUUGCGAGACCCCACAAGU
This is a small nucleolar RNA of Oncorhynchus tshawytscha (Chinook salmon), 134 nucleotides long. The record is from Ensembl. Lineage: Eukaryota; Metazoa; Chordata; Actinopteri; Salmoniformes; Salmonidae.